Molecule: ribosomal RNA, 252 nt
Filed under: uncultured bacterium
Lineage: Bacteria
Description: partial 16S ribosomal RNA
Rfam family: Bacterial small subunit ribosomal RNA
Source: RNAcentral
UACGUAGGGUGCAAGCGUUAAUCGGAAUUACUGGGCGUAAAGCGUGCGCAGGCGGUUUUGUAAGUCUGUCGUGAAAUCCCCGGGCUCAACCUGGGAAUUGCGAUGGAGACUGCAAGGCUAGAAUCUGGCAGAGGGGGGUAGAAUUCCACGUGUAGCAGUGAAAUGCGUAGAGAUGUGGAGGAACACCGAUGGCGAAGGCAGCCCCCUGGGUCAAGAUUGACGCUCAUGCACGAAAGCGUGGGGGCAAACAGG